This is a long non-coding RNA of Mauremys mutica (yellowpond turtle), 513 nucleotides long. RefSeq lists it as uncharacterized. The record is from RefSeq and is a predicted model, not a curated record. Lineage: Eukaryota; Metazoa; Chordata; Testudines; Geoemydidae. The transcript is spliced from 3 exons.
GAUGGAGCUACAAGGAAGAGGACUACAGCUCCCAUCAGCUCACUCCCCAGUGCACAUCCCCUCCCCCAGGCCAGAUCAUCCAGGUUGGAAGGGAGAGGGCCUGGUUUGAUAGAAGAAACACAGGUCUGUCCAGAAAAAGUGGUUUUCACAGGAGAAAGGGGGUAGCUGAAGUGCUGCUGCUGCUGCUGCUGGCUGAGGAUUUGUAGCUGCAGGAAGAGCUGCUGCUGUUGGAGGAGUCUAGCAUAGGCUGAGUCCAUGGGCGGAGGAGACUUCUCUGCUUUCUGGUCAGGCGGAAUGUACUGGUGAUACUUCAGCUUCUUCACCUUUGGCUUGGUGUCCUUGGGCUUUUUGUGGCGAUUCUUGCUAUCGCUGGAUGAUUUUGACUGCGUGUCAUACAGAGAAAAGAACAGGGGUUAUGAAAGAAAUCAGGUCCGGAGCUGGAGUUGGCUAAGCGAUGACAUUCACAUUUAUGAAUUUAGAGACCCAGAACCAGAGGAUGAGCAUAUCCAUAUU